GCUCAGAGAACUGACCUUGACCUGGCCCUUACAGUACGUCACUAAGUACAUUAGCUCGCGUGGGUCUCUUUGCAGUCAAUGCAAUCUGGGACUAGAGCACUCCUGCAGCCAUGGCAACCUCAUGCUGCGUGGUACCCAGAACAAGGGCUGCAGUGGGAUGACAUGUAAUACAUCUAAAAUAACAGCUUCUCAGUGGGAGAGAAGAUUGAUGAGCGAGAUCAACUGAUGCAUGGUUGUUCUCGAAGAUUGGAGAUUACUGUUGGAAAUUAAUACAGUCUGCCAAAUUAGGAACCGGCGAAAAAAAACAUUGAAACUGGUAGACCAGAUGGCAACAUCAAUGAGGCUGCCACAGUCCCCUUGAAGAAGAGUGGAGGUAGACUAGUGUGUGGGGACAAUGGACCAUAACUUGGACUAUGGGGAACCACAAGAGGAGGAGGUGUUCUUUGAAAACUACAAGCCUCCCUCUCGGGACGCUAUCACCCUGCCCAACUAUGUUAUCUAUCUGUUCCUAGCAUCGGUGGUGGCUCUGAUCGCCCUGUACGCAAUCAUCAGGCACCUCAUCAAAGAGCUGAUUCAUGACCUAGCAGACUACCUGUUUGGGGUACAGCCUGACGAGGAGGUGGUUAACCCCUGGGAGUGUAAGGACAAGUUCCAGGUGGACUGGUGUCCAGAGACCAACGCUGAGCUGGAGGCUAUGGUCAAGGCGGAGGAGAUCCACUGCCUGAUGGAGGGCAACAAGAACAUGCCUGCCAUCUGGGUCAUCUCAGACGGACGUGAGCCACGGCCCCCACGCACGGGCCCCAGGGUCGCCUUCGGCAGGAUGAGCUAGCUACAAAGGGGCAGACACACAGACUCAGACUGCUAGGGACAAGGCAGGGUACAGCAACGUGGCAGAUGCACUGUAAACUGUAAGCCAAAAGAGAUAUACUGUGUUGUAAUCAUGUACUCAUUACUGCAUUACACAAUAAUCUCCACAUGCUGGCAGCAUGCCAAGAGCUUCAUAAGUGACCAGUCCUUGUUGUAUUGUUAGUGUUUAGACUAGGCCCUAGACCUCCUUUUGACCAUAUGAAGAGGAAAUGCUUUCAGGACUUUCAACUGUGAGCUAUGUUGUUGAACACGUUUAUUCCGUAUGGUUUCCAAUUUUAAACCAUUUCUCUCACAAAUACUCUUGUUUUCUAUUUAUUGCACAUUUAUUUUAUACAAUAUUACACAUUUGCAUGCUAUCCAGUUAACACAUGGCAUGAUCGUUACUGAAAGCUGGUUUCAGGAACAAAUGAAAAGUCAUGAGUUUGGAGUGGACACACCUUUCAGGCAAUAAAAUCUGCUGGUAUCAUUGGCAACAUGGUGCAAUCUGGUUGCUCUCUGUGCUGUAUACUGCACUUUGACCUCACAGGACGUUACCAGUCCAGAAGGAGUAUCGUGACAGUGAACAGGUUCUACACAACACCAACCUCAGAGGCCUCCUGGGAUAAACAAGGAUUCAUAAUGUCUCUCCACAAAACUUUCCAGGUCUGCUUAUUACUGGCUGUUUGUGUUAACCAGGCCCAGAGUGGUUUGCCAAACGGUAAGUCAUCAUCGAUGAUCAAUCAUACUGGCUAGAUAUUGAUGCAAAGCACUGUGUUUAACAACAGUUAUGUCAUAAUAACCUCACCUUGCACCUUCCCUCUGCGGUUGGCAUUAUGUUACAGCUGGGUACACUGUUAGUCAGUACUAGCCAGCGAUGUUUAACUCUUUGUUCAAAUAUCUUACAUCAUCAUGAUAAUAUAGUCCACAUACUAUCAAUGGUGUGGUAUCAAUGAUCAAAUCAAGUUUUCUGAUCAAUACAUAACCAUUUAUUCCUUAUAUAGGAGGCUUACGGCUCACUACAUCCAAGGGUGGGACCCUGCAGCCUUGGCUUGUUGGUCUGGCUGCUGUAGUGGGAUUCCUCUUCAUCGUCUUCGUCAUCCUUAUUGUACAAAGGCUUUUCUUCAAGAAGGAAAAGUGAGUACCACAGAGGUGAUAACCUAAAUGCACUGCACCUGCAUAUAUUCUGUGUACUUAUAUGGUACUGGUGACACUUGUUGUAAAGUGGGACGACAAGGGUAAAUAUCUAAGCAAAAAUAAUCUCCUUAACCUUAGAGACCCUAUUAAAUUACUAUUCUAAUUCCUAAUUCUAUGUCCUAAACAUUGUUUUGACCAUUCAAUACAUAAAAUUAUUUAGCUUAUUGCUGAUUUGCUAUACUAUUGUCUUAUCAGUGCAGGCUGCUAGCCAUCUGCCAAGGUAAUAUUCAGUCAGUGACUACAAUAACAAGUUCACAGAGAUGACCUUGUGUAACAGGCACCAGCAACCUGACUCCAGUGGUUUAAAGUACUUUAGUAAAAAUACUUUAAAGUACUACUUAGGUUGUUUUUUGGGGUAUCUGUACUUUACUAUUUAUAUUUGUCAACUUUUACAUUUAUUUUACUACAUUCCUGAAUAAAAUCAUUUACUUUUUAAUCCAUACAUUUUCCCUGACACCCAAACGUACUCGUUACAUUUUGAAUGCUUAGCAGGACAGGAAAAUGGUCAAAUUCACACACUUAUCAAGAGAACAUCCCUGGUCAUUCCUACUGCCUCAGACUCACUAAACAUAAAUGCUUUGUUUGUAAAUAUGUCUGAGUGUUGGAGCAUGCCCCUGGUUCUCUGUAAAUAAAAUUAAAAACAAGUAAUAUGGUGCUGUUUGGUUUGCUUAAUAUAAGCAAUUUGAAAUUAUUU
This 2734-nucleotide long non-coding RNA is filed under the name Salmo trutta (river trout). RNAcentral's name for it is "lncRNA (ENSSTUG00000044972.1)". Lineage: Eukaryota; Metazoa; Chordata; Actinopteri; Salmoniformes; Salmonidae. The record is from RNAcentral.